This 468-nucleotide ribosomal RNA is filed under the name uncultured bacterium. Its description in RNAcentral is "partial 16S ribosomal RNA". It matches the Rfam family "Bacterial small subunit ribosomal RNA", at positions 28 to 507 of the family's 1533-position model. The record is from RNAcentral.
GACGAACGCUGGCGGCGUGCUUAACACAUGCAAGUCGAACGCAAAGGCCCUGCUUUUGUGGGGUGCUCGAGUGGCGAACGGGUGAGUAACACGUGAGUAACCUGCCCUUGACUUUGGGAUAACUUCAGGAAACUGGGGCUAAUACCGGAUAGGAGCUCCUGCUGCAUGGUGGGGGUUGGAAAGUUUCGGCGGUUGGGGAUGGACUCGCGGCUUAUCAGCUUGUUGGUGGGGUAGUGGCUUACCAAGGCUUUGACGGGUAGCCGGCCUGAGAGGGUGACCGGCCACAUUGGGACUGAGAUACGGCCCAGACUCCUACGGGAGGCAGCAGUGGGGAAUAUUACACAAUGGGCGGAAGCCUGAUGCAGCAACGCCGCGUGCGGGAUGACGGCCUUCGGGUUGUAAACCGCUUUCGCCUGUGACGAAGCGUGAGUGACGGUAAUGGGUAAAGAAGCACCGGCUAACUACGUG